This is a non-coding RNA of Biomphalaria pfeifferi, 114 nucleotides long. The record is from the annotation of a GenBank genome assembly. Lineage: Eukaryota; Metazoa; Mollusca; Gastropoda; Planorbidae.
GGUAUUCCAAGAUGGCUUUUUCUUUUUAUACAUAAAUUAUUUAGCCAGGCUUUAUAAUAGCUCCUAGUAUCAUACGCUUCAGGAGUUGUAAGAUGAGUGACCGCCCUUUAAAGG